UCAUGCUAUUUUAGACAAAUACAUAUAAACUUUAUAACUAAAGCCAAUGGCAUUAUUGUAAAAAUAAGUAAACACAAGGAUAUUUUUGUAUUUUCUCUUUUUCAGAAAAUGUUAUUUACCUAACUUUUCUGACACAAUGUCAUUCUCUCAAUUCUUUUCCAUUUCAUAGUUAGUUUCUAAUAUUACCCAUAUUUUUAUAUACAUAGAGAUCUAUAUUUUUAUAAUUUAACAAAGACCAAAAAAAUUUGGCCAAACAACAAAUAAAUAAGGAAGACUAAGAACUUGUGAAUUGUGAUC
RNAcentral lists this small RNA (297 nucleotides) under Arabidopsis thaliana (thale cress). RNAcentral's name for it is "ATSL148750". The record is from RNAcentral. Lineage: Eukaryota; Viridiplantae; Streptophyta; Magnoliopsida; Brassicales; Brassicaceae.